This 417-nucleotide long non-coding RNA is filed under the name Cyanistes caeruleus (blue tit). Its description in RNAcentral is "lncRNA (ENSCCEG00000008483.1)". The record is from RNAcentral. Lineage: Eukaryota; Metazoa; Chordata; Aves; Passeriformes; Paridae.
GAAAAACUAGUGCACAAAUUUAUUUUAAUAAGCUGGAUAUGCAGCAUAAAUAUUUAUCAUUAUAUUUUUUAUUUAUUUAUUUUUAUCUGUUCUGAUGUCGUCUACUUUCCUACCUGGAAGAGGAGCUGAGUGAGCAAGGGCAGCCUGAAUGCCUCAAACUCCUGGGGAAUUUUCUCUCUUGGAAGCCAGUGGCAGCUUUACAUCUUUGUGUUAAUGUGUGACCAGGAAUAUGCCAAUUUGAUUCACUGCUCUGGAAAUACAGGCAGAAAUGUCAGUAAGAAAUUGGCAGGGUUCUACAGCCGUGGUCUGGCUUUGCCAUUCAAAGUUUAUCAUUCUGCUGAGAAAGCCUUGAGGAUUCCCAAAGCAGUGAUGUGAAAAUCAAGGAAAAAGGCAUUAAAUACACAACUUGUUCAGCUG